Molecule: ribosomal RNA, 1102 nt
Filed under: uncultured organism
Description: bacterial SSU rRNA
Rfam family: Bacterial small subunit ribosomal RNA
Source: RNAcentral
UAACACGUGAGUAAUCUGCCUUUAGGUGGGGGACAACUUCGGGAAACCGGAGCUAAUACCGCAUAAUGUUAUUUGUUCGCAUGGACGAAUAACCAAAGGGGGGCACUUCUAUCCUCCCGCCUGAAGAGGAGCUCGCGCCUGAUUAGCUAGUUGGUGAGGUAAAAGCUCACCAAGGCGAUGAUCAGUAGUCGGUCUGAGAGGAUGGCCGGCCACACUGGGAUUGAGAUACGGCCCAGACUCCUACGGGAGGCAGCAGUCUAGAAGCUUCGGCAAUGGGGGAAACCCUGACCGAGCGACGCCGCGUGCAGGACGAAGGCCUUCGGGUUGUAAACUGCUUUCGACUGGGAGGAAAGGUAGUGUAGUUAAUACCUGCAUUGCUUGACAGUACCAGGAGAAGAAGCCCCGGCUAACUCCGUGCCAGCAGCCGCGGUAAUACGGAGGGGGCAAGCGUUGUUCGGAUUUAUUGGGCGUAAAGCGCGCGUAGGUGGUUAAGUAAGUCGGAUGUUAAAGACCCACGGCUCACCCGGGGGAAUGCGUCCGAUACUGCUUGGCUAGAGUACAGGAGAGGGAAGUGGAAUUCCUGGUGUAGCGGUGAAAUGCGUAGAUAUCAGGAGGAACACCGGUGGCGAAAGCGGCUUCCUGGCCUGUAACUGACACUGAGGCGCGAAAGCGUGGGUAGCGAACGGGAUUAGAUACCCCGGUAGUGCACGCGGUAAACGUUGGAUACUAGGUGUCGGGGGUUUUCUACCCCCUCGGUGUCGCAGCAAAUGCAUUAAGUAUGUGUGCCUGGGGAGUACGAUCCGCAAGGUUGAAACUCAAAGGAAUUGACGAGGGUCCGCACAAGCGGUGGAGCAUGCAGGUUUAAUUCGACGCAACGCGAAGAACCUUAGCAGGGUUUGACAUCACUGUAAGGAACCGUGCUUUCCUGGAAACAGGAAAGCUUAGGUAGAGCAGGUGUUGCAUGGCUGUCGUCAGCUCGUGUCGUGAGAUGUUGGGUUAAGUCCCGCAACGAGCGCAACCCAUAUCACUAGUGCACAUCAGUUUAGCGAGGGACUAUAGAGAAACAGCCGGUGUCAAGCUGGAGGAAGGUGGGGAUGACGUC